This 2168-nucleotide long non-coding RNA is filed under the name Ursus americanus (American black bear). RNAcentral's name for it is "lncRNA (ENSUAMG00000013025.1)". The record is from RNAcentral. Lineage: Eukaryota; Metazoa; Chordata; Mammalia; Carnivora; Ursidae.
AUGGUGCAGAGAUGGGUGGCUUUAGGCACAGAGGAAAUGGGACGGGGUGGUGCCUGGUGCCCGCCCAAGAGAGGAAACACAGAAUGGAGGUCAAGCCAAGCCAUGGCACGGACCCAGGGGGAUGCGGCACCCGUCACUGUGGGGGCCGCUCCGCUGGGAUUGGGGACGGGUGUCUGCAGGGCCGGGUGGGGGGAGAUGGGGCGGGGAGGAAGCCCUCCAGCGGCAGCGAGAGAAAGUCCAACCUCCACAGGCGUUCCGCGCCGCCAGGCCGACCUCCCACUCCCAGGGCGGGCACCGACGGAGCGGCACUGCGGAACCUGCGCGCCCGGAGACAGGAAGGUACUCUUGAAGUUUAAGAAGCCAGGAGUAGACGGGCCUUUUCUCCCCCACGCGGACAUGCGGCUGCUCCUGCUCCUGCCCCUGCUGCUGGCCCCGGCGCCCGCGUCCGCGGUGAGUGCGGCCCCGCCCCGCCCGGCCCCCGGCUGGAGAGCGGGGGUGGGGGAAGUGCCUCAGCGGGGAGGACACCCUAGGACGAGGGACAGCCGCCCCGCCGCAGCCUGGAGCCCGUCUCCCCGCGUCGACCACCUGCGGAGAGGGCCGAAGAGGGGAAGCUGGGGGGAGAAGGCGAGCCCUGGGACCCCCAGCUCUUUCAAAAAGGGGUGCAGCCUUGAAGCGGCCUGACCAAGGGACCCGGAGCUGCCCUCCCCCCUGCAGGCGCAGUGUGCAGGACUGGCAACUUCCCACCGCCCUCCUCCUUCAGAAGGUGCUGGGUGCCCCCUAAUGCUGGGACCCUCCCCCCCCCGGGGGUCGUUUUCCAAGGUGGAAGAAGGGGAGGGGGCAGUGAAGGCACGAGCCAAGGUGCAGUGCCCAUGCCUUCAUCUGCCUGGGACCAAAUUGGGCUGUGCCUCAGCUUGACUGUGUGUGCUUAGACCCCGCCCCCCUGGGGAUUUAGCUCUAGCUAGAGCAGGGAUGGCCAGUAGAACUUUGAGAUGAUAAAAAAAAAUGUCCUAAAACUGUGCAGUUCUUACAAACACUUGGUUCUGUGGCCACUGAGCCCAUGAAACAUGGCGAUUGCAACUGAAGAAUUAAGUGGUUUGAUUUGAUUUUAAUUAACCUAAAUAGCCACGGGUAGCUAACGGUUACCACAUUAUAGUGCAAACUUGGAGAGUGGACAUAGGAGCCAACUAGUGAUCAGAGUAUCUGUUUUGUUAAUGGGGCCCAAAGGACGGGGCUCCCUGGAGACCGAACCUGGAUCCUGAGGUUAUACAAGAAAGCUUCUAGGAGGCAGGACCCAUCUCUGCGGAGGGGAGGGUCCCCAGAGGUGGGCUUCCUCUUGGACGCUGCUCCUGCCAAGCUUCUCCUGGCAUUGACGGGAUGGAGGGCACAGAAGCAGCCAGGUCCCAUCGGGCCCCCGGAGAGCUCUUCACAACAGGAGCCCCACAGCCCUGCCCACCCCUCUGUGAGGCAGGCCGUCCUUGGGGAAGGAGAGCAAGGGAGAUGCCACCACUGUGGAGUGUGAGUCAAGGAUGAGAAGGGCUGCAGGGGCAGGCAGAGAGGGACAUCAGUGGUGCUCAGUGGGCACUCCUCCAAAGCCCCAUCGACCCAGCACUGGCCACAGUCAGAGCGGUAGGUGGGCCAGAGCCCUCCUUUCUCAUGUCCUCUCCAUCACCUGCCAGCUUCCCAGCAGUCACCUCUGCCACCCCGUGGUCGUUGAGGUCCCUGGCACAGGCUUUCCCUGGUGCCUGGCUCCAUGACGGCCCCGCUCAGGUGGACACUGUCGUGCCAGGACCCCAGGAUGAAACCAGAGCUCCUCCCUAACUGCUGCAUGACCAUAAGCAAAUCAGGCCUUCGAUUCCCUUUCACUGGGGGGCAUGACACUCACCCUCAAGUUACUCUGCAGGUGAAAUGAGUCAAGGUGUGCAAAACGCCCUGGGUCCUCUUAGGUGCUUUCUGCCUUAGAAACACCUGAGUAACAUUUCUUGGCCUCCUGCCCACAGCAGGUGAGCUCAGGUGGGGCCGUGAACUCGCCUGUGCCCCCUCCACCCAGGCCAGGGCUCAGCUGCCUCCAGUUUCUGGCGGUAGCAGGGGGUGGGGUAGAGCCACCACAGGGUCCUUUCUGAGUGCGGACAGGGUUUAGGGAGGAAUAAAGUGCAGAUGCAGCCUGGCCA